CUGCAGCACGCACGGAGCAGCGUGUCCUCCUGGGAGCGGGCGGAGCGAGCCGGCCCUCCCUGCUCGCAGCGCCCCCGCCCUGCAUUUUCCCAGUGGACGGGGCGGCACCGUGCCCGCCUCCAGGGCCACGGCCUCUCCGGCCUCUCCGGAGUCCCUCUCCCUCAGGCCUCUAGCUCGCCGCGGUAGUUGGGGGCCGCCCUCCUCCCGCCGGGUCCACCGUGUCUCCGCUCUGCAUGCUGUCGCCCUCCUGUGGCAGGAACCAACCUCGGGACGGGCAGGCGGGGUUACCCCGCGGGCGUCCCGGGGACAGGAGGGCAUGUCAUCGCCUCAGUGUCCCCCCGUGGCUCUUGGGCUCCUUCCUUGCCCUCUCAGGGUGCGCAGCCUCCAUUGCGGUCUCGGCACUGGUCUCCAGAAUUGUAUCUUUACCCAAACCUUCCUCCUGCACCCCAAACCCAUAUUCAGCUGCAACCCAGCCCUCUUCUGGGGGUCCUCAAAUUCAAGAGCGCAUAGAAAUGGGAACCCCUCAUCCCCUUCUCCUCCAGUGCCCUGCCGACGCUGCGACUGCUCCCGCUCACCCUGAGCCCAAGUCCCACCCCCGCAUUCAGCUCUCUGCUUCUCUCUCUCCCCUCCCUUCUGCCCUGGUCCCACGACUUCUUGCCUCCUGACUGUACCCACCUCUCACCUCCCAUUUUGCUUCUAGUCUAUUCUCCACGGAGCAGCAGUCUCGAGUCUCGCAUGCACUUUAUCCUGCGUGGUGGUGCUGGCCUUACCCCCAGGAGAUACUCCCACUACCACCUUUGUACCUGCGCCCCCCAAGGGCCAGGAUAAGGAGCCCAACCUUGUCCUGAGGACAGGGGUGGGUCACAGAAGGUUUGUAAAGUCUUGACUAUCGAUUUUAUACAAGUCCUAUAUGCCCAAUGUAUUAUCAGGGUUUUGGAUUAUGCACAAUAAAAACAAAUUUUAUGCAAUUUAAGCAGAUGGAAAGUAUUGGAAGGAUAUCCAGUAGCUGGAGAUCUGCCUUGGAAAGCGGCAGAAAUGAGAGAAAGCAGAGGACACAGGCAAUGUCAGACCCAGAAAAAGCCUGGCUAGGAUGUCCCUGUCACUGGAGGCGCUCUCAUUGUCAGGGAGCAGGGGGGUGUCUGCCCCCCUCCUUCCCCCGUUGUGUGAAGUGGGCUCCCACGGAAUUCUCCAGAGCGGCACCUGACCUUACCAGGUAGGAGUCCGGAGGCUUCAGCAGGCCAGUCCCGUCUUCUCUAAGGCCAGCUGCUCUGUGGGACGUGGACUAAGACGAGCUGGGCCCUGCUGCAUCACCUCUUUCUGUAUGAGGUGGGUCCCCAGCCCAGAGGCCAGGCCUGUGCACACGGGGUCCGCAGUUCUGUGCAGAUGGCGGCACGGGCCAAUGAGCAGGCAUGAGCAGCCAACCCGGCAGGAACCUCGAUUUCAGCCAGAAUAAACAGUGUCCGCUUCACAAUGGAAGGUGUCAAAUAGGACUGCUCUGCUCGGGGCUGGGGACCCGGAGGUUGAGGACGUGUACCACAGCCACUCUGUUCACAGGCCUGUGCAUAAGCACUGAGUGGCUGAGGAGAGAGGCUGGCCAACGUCCAUAGGGCAGUUGUGAUGUCCACCUGGGUGUCCAAUGCCUCCUCUGCAGUGGACUCCCUGGAUGUCUCUGUGAGACGCAGAGCUGGCCCCAUGUGCUUGAUGGUCCUGAGCCUGCCCCCACCGCAGGUCCUCGCGUGUCCUUUCCCAGCCUGCCUGUCACCAUUGUUCCAGUCUUGUUCAUUUCAGGCUCCUGAUGCACCAGCCAAGCCUUUCUCCAAUAUCCUGGAGUCAGUUUAUCGGCACACUGCAGGCCGUUCUUCCCAUCCCUAGGAAGUGAAUUACCAGGUGCCCCUGGGGGAUCUCCCUCCACUGCUGUCCUUCAGGACCUCCGGAGAGAAGAGCUGUCAUGUGGCAGUGAGCCCGAUCACACGCCAGGAGCUCUUCUCCAAACCAAGAGGAGUGUUCUGCCACAGAAGGUACGGCCUUGCUCUGUAACCCAGGGUCUGCUGCGGCUCUGCGCAGAGGCUCCACACAGCAUCCUUCCUGCCUGCAAGGAUCUUCAGCACCCCAGACCUGCUGAUCAUGGGGUCCCGGCAGCAUGACGGUGCCCGCCUCAGCCAGAACGUCUGGGCCCUGCUGGAGCCAUUAGCCUUCAGGGCCUCUCAGGAAGCGGGGUGGAGUGGUAGUCCCAAGGACCGGAUGUGCUGCUCUCCAGUCCUGAGACCGGCCGAGCACUGGGCCUGUUUGCUGAUGGAAGGAGGCACAAGGCUCAACAAUUUAUCUCUUGCCUUAGGAUGUCCUAGCAUAUCCCAGAUCUGUGAACCCUAAAACUUCAUCAGGAUGCUUUCUCUCCCACCCUCUGGAACUCCCCGGAUCAGGGAGAUGUCAAGAUGGUCUAGAUUCCUGUAUUAGUUUCCUGUAGCUGCUGGAACAAUUAACACACAUUUACUGUCUUAAAACAAUGCAAAUUUAUUCUCUCGCAGUAACAUAGGUUAGCAGGAGGACACAGGCCUCAGUGGCUUACGUCAAGGACUCAGCAAGCCUGCGAUCCUUCUGGAAGCUCUAGAGGAGCAUCUGUUUCCUUGGCCUUUUCCAGCUUCUAGAGGCCACCCACAUUCCUUGGCUCAUGGCCCCUUCCUCCAUCUUCAAAGUCAGCAUCUCUCUGACCUGCUUCCAAAUUCACAGCUCUCUCUGAGUCUCCUGCCUCCCUCUUCCGCUCUGAAGGACCCUUGUGAUUACAUUGGACCUACCCAGAUCACCCAGGAUGAUCUCCCUAUUUCAAGGCUACACGGCCACUGUGGCCCAAGGGCUCUGCUCCAGGACCCAGACCAACAGCGGAGCUGUUACAUCUCUUAAAGGCUAUCGAGUUCCCUCAAAUUAGCACCUUUUGUUACUCUCUUCACUGUGGGUCUCCUGCUGCUGAAUCCUCUUGUGAAAUGAAUGAGAAACCUCAAGUAAACUGGAGUCGGGGAGGCCUAUGGGGAGCUCUCACCCCAUCACACAUGUCAAUCACACCAACCAGGAAGAGAAGGGCACUUGCAUCUCCCACAGGAAGUGCAACUACUUUACUACUGAAGGAAGAUUUCUCUCUCCAUCCAGCAGCAGCUCAGCCAAUGGGAAAUGCCACAGCUCAGCCAAUGAGAAACACCACAGCUCAGCCAAUGAGAAAUGCUU
This is an RNA transcript of Equus quagga, 3216 nucleotides long. It is a transcript of the gene named IQ motif and ankyrin repeat containing 1, with no coding region annotated. The transcript has 4 exons. The record is from RefSeq and is a predicted model, not a curated record. Lineage: Eukaryota; Metazoa; Chordata; Mammalia; Perissodactyla; Equidae.